CUGCAACGCAACAACCGGGUUAGUCAUCUAACCCACUUAACUCCGUCGCAUACACUAUAUUACGCGACUCAACUCCGCCAUAAGCGGACGUACACCAGUGUAUUAGUUCUAACUCUUAGCGUUGUGUUGUCGGCCGCCAAUACAAACUCCUCGAGCUCAGAAACUAACACCGCUCGGAUCUAUCUCUACCCACAUACUCGAUCCGACCUAAUCGGAUUCUUCCUCUACCGAUAUAGGUUCACAUUUUUCUCACGUACUUAUCACCUUAA
Molecule: long non-coding RNA, 269 nt
Filed under: Ananas comosus (pineapple)
Lineage: Eukaryota; Viridiplantae; Streptophyta; Magnoliopsida; Poales; Bromeliaceae
Description: long non-coding RNA (ACOM_LNC013420)
Source: RNAcentral